RNAcentral lists this ribosomal RNA (566 nucleotides) under Klebsiella pneumoniae. RNAcentral's name for it is "bacterial SSU rRNA". It matches the Rfam family "Bacterial small subunit ribosomal RNA", at positions 631 to 1197 of the family's 1533-position model. Lineage: Bacteria; Pseudomonadati; Pseudomonadota; Gammaproteobacteria; Enterobacterales; Enterobacteriaceae. The record is from RNAcentral.
AACUGGCAGGCUAGAGUCUUGUAGAGGGGGGUAGAAUUCCAGGUGUAGCGGUGAAAUGCGUAGAGAUCUGGAGGAAUACCGGUGGCGAAGGCGGCCCCCUGGACAAAGACUGACGCUCAGGUGCGAAAGCGUGGGGAGCAAACAGGAUUAGAUACCCUGGUAGUCCACGCUGUAAACGAUGUCGAUUUGGAGGUUGUGCCCUUGAGGCGUGGCUUCCGGAGCUAACGCGUUAAAUCGACCGCCUGGGGAGUACGGCCGCAAGGUUAAAACUCAAAUGAAUUGACGGGGGCCCGCACAAGCGGUGGAGCAUGUGGUUUAAUUCGAUGCAACGCGAAGAACCUUACCUGGUCUUGACAUCCACAGAACUUUCCAGAGAUGGAUUGGUGCCUUCGGGAACUGUGAGACAGGUGCUGCAUGGCUGUCGUCAGCUCGUGUUGUGAAAUGUUGGGUUAAGUCCCGCAACGAGCGCAACCCUUAUCCUUUGUUGCCAGCGGUUAGGCCGGGAACUCAAAGGAGACUGCCAGUGAUAAACUGGAGGAAGGUGGGGAUGACGUCAAGUCAUCAUG